GUCUCUCUCCGGAGCGCUGCCGCCUCCUGGACUCCCCGCUCCAGCUCCAAGGACCGGCAUCGCUGCCGCAGCCGGGAGGCCGAGAACGCGCGGUGGCGACGCCGCCCCAGGCCACGCGGCGAGGCGGUUCCGAACGGACUCGGGAUUCGCUCCUGGGCGCUGUGGGGCCGAGUGGAGCCAAGCGGCCGUUUUUCAGCUCCGCCCUUCCGAAAGGCUGCCGCAGGGUCGGGGCCACGUGGGGCCCGCGGCAGAGGGGCUGGGGGAACGCCACGGGCGGCCCUGGUGAAGGUGCCCGCCGGUCUCGGCCUGACCCCCAGGCCCUGUUCUGGCACGCGCCCCACCUGCGCGCACAGUGAGACCGGCGCCCUAGCCUGGGAAUCCGGGGAAUCUCCAGCCCGUUGCCUUUUCCAUAACCCCGUCUUCUUUUUCACACUAGCUCUGAGGGUGGAAGGCAGGGAGGUGCCAGCCACGUUCCCUUCCACAGAGGGAACUCCCUGUUGGAAUUCCUACCCCGGCUUCCUGCCGUCUGUCCUGGAACACAUUGCUCCAGGCCUCCGAGCCUCAGUUUCCUCGUUUGCAAAAUGGGGGCGAUAACAGAGCGUCCUCAAAGGGGAUAAGACGGAAGAAGUUGGCUCAUAUCAGGGCUCAUAAUUGUUGCCAAGUAUUAACAGGGCUUGGGGCUCCUGCCCACUCGUAUCAGGUCCCGGGACCCCCCCGGUGGUGUCCUCAGGGCUCCCGCCGUCCCAGGCCGCCCUCCACUUCUGGAAGCAGACACGAGGCCACGAGACCCACUGCUUUUGGGUAUCUGCUUUCAUUCCUGACACUGCCCUUUAAGAGAAAAAAGUACCCACAUUGUUCCCAGAUGGAGAGGGUCCCUCCCAGAGGGUGAGGCACUGCCACAGGGGCUCACGGCCCUGCCAGGAGUGGAAGGUGCACACCCAGAAGUAUUUCUCCUGUGAAGGAAGGGGGCUGAGCUUCGCUGCAGACCUGGCCUCAGGUGUGGAUGAGCUUCGCUGCAGACCUGGCCUCAGGUGCGGAGUCUGCGGGAGCAGCAUUUCCAGGCAGACCUGACAGAAGGUGCCUUUGAGAGGUGGUGAGCUCCGUGUUACAGGAGGCUUGUGAGCACAGGUAGCCCAUCUUCUGGUGAUGAUGCUGGAGAAGCAAUUCAAAUGUCAGAAGCAGGACUGGACUCUGUUUCCAAAACUCACGUCUGGAUUCUACCCCCUGAAAACAUUAUUUACACAAUGUUUUUCCUUUAAACAAUUCACACAUUUG
RNAcentral lists this long non-coding RNA (1275 nucleotides) under Homo sapiens (human). RNAcentral's name for it is "HSALNT0402376". Lineage: Eukaryota; Metazoa; Chordata; Mammalia; Primates; Hominidae. The record is from RNAcentral.